Molecule: long non-coding RNA, 797 nt
Organism: Oncorhynchus mykiss (rainbow trout)
Lineage: Eukaryota; Metazoa; Chordata; Actinopteri; Salmoniformes; Salmonidae
Source: RefSeq, a predicted model, not a curated record
GCAGAUAGGGAGGAUGAAACCCCACUAUAUAAAGUAGAAGACAUCCAACUUGGUCUCCGUAAAGGUUCAGAAACUCCAUCCUAGUCAGCUAUCAACCGAAACCUCCAUCCUCAAACUCUUGAGUAAAGAAUGACGACCUUGAGUGUGUUGACGACCUUGUUCGCCCUGCUGGGUGUCCUGUUAGCAAGUCCGUUCAUUGACCGCCUGCAGCAAAAUGCUAAACAACAAGGAGGCUGAAGAGAGGACCAAGGACCAGCCUCUUCAAAUGAUGUAUAGAAUGUUUUGUGGCUGGAGUUGUUUGCCUCAUUAUCAAAAAGUAACAAGAAACGGCCAUUGCUAUUGUGAAAAGAAAACACAUCAUGUAAAGGAAGGUUUCUUAUCAUAAGGGAGGAGCUAUUGCAAGUCCUAUUUUACUUCUGGUUUGAGCUGUGCAUGAGUGCUUGCGUGGUGUGUACAAAACAAUCAUGGACUAAUACAUUUACAAGGCCAACAAUGUAAAAAAACAUAAUAAAUAUACAAGGCCAACAGUAAACCCAGAUAAUGAGAAAACAAUUGGGGGAAAGGAAAAACAAGACUCAGUCUUACAACUCACAAAACGAGCAACAAUCUAAACAUGGGCUGAAAUAUGUCCUUCAUUUAUACACCGGGUGGGUCUAAUGCUGAUUGGUGUGUCUUCCACAAGUUACCACCGGCUAAAUCGAUGACGUUAAAAUGCCUAUUUACUCUGUUCCAUCUGACUGCGCAAUCCACUGUCUCAUCAGCCCAGCCAGGUAGUUUAUAAACGUGAUCUCCACUAU